This 253-nucleotide ribosomal RNA is filed under the name uncultured bacterium. Its description in RNAcentral is "partial 16S ribosomal RNA". It matches the Rfam family "Bacterial small subunit ribosomal RNA", at positions 524 to 776 of the family's 1533-position model. The record is from RNAcentral.
UACAGAGACUGCAAGCGUUAUUCGGAUUCACUGGGCGUAAAGGGUGCGCAGGCGGCCGGGUGUGUCAGAUGUGAAAUCCCGAGGCUUAUCCUCGGAACUGCGUCUGAAACUACUCGGCUAGAGUAUUGGAGAGGGUAACGGAAUUCACGGUGUAGCAGUGAAAUGCGUAGAUAUCGUGAGGAACACCAGAGGCGAAGGCGGUUACCUGGACAAUUACUGACGCUCAGGCACGAAAGCAUGGGGAGCAAAAGGG